CCUACGGGCGGCAGCAGUGGGGAAUAUUGGUCAAUGGGCGAAAGCCUGAUCCAGCCAUGCCGCGUGUGUGAAGAAGGCCUUCGGGUUGUAAAGCACUUUCAGUGGGGAAGAAAGCCUUGGGGCUAAUACCCUCGAGGAAGGACAUCACCCACAGAAGAAGCACCGGCUAACUCCGUGCCAGCAGCCGCGGUAAUACGGAGGGUGCGAGCGUUAAUCGGAAUUACUGGGCGUAAAGCGCGCGUAGGCGGUCUGAUAAGCCGGUUGUGAAAGCCCCGGGCUCAACCUGGGAACGGCAUCCGGAACUGUCAGGCUAGAGUGCAGGAGAGGAAGGUAGAAUUCCCGGUGUAGCGGUGAAAUGCGUAGAGAUCGGGAGGAAUACCAGUGGCGAAGGCGGCCUUCUGGACUGACACUGACGCUGAGGUGCGAAAGCGUGGGUAGCAAACAGGAUUAGAUACCCCUGUAGUC
Molecule: ribosomal RNA, 465 nt
Filed under: Vreelandella stevensii
Lineage: Bacteria; Pseudomonadati; Pseudomonadota; Gammaproteobacteria; Oceanospirillales; Halomonadaceae
Description: partial 16S ribosomal RNA
Rfam family: Bacterial small subunit ribosomal RNA
Source: RNAcentral